This 508-nucleotide ribosomal RNA is filed under the name uncultured soil bacterium. RNAcentral's name for it is "bacterial SSU rRNA". It matches the Rfam family "Bacterial small subunit ribosomal RNA", at positions 26 to 527 of the family's 1533-position model. The record is from RNAcentral.
AGAGUGAACGCUGGCGGUAGGCCUAACACAUGCAAGUCGAACGGCAGCACAGGAGAGCUUGCUCUCUGGGUGGCGAGUGGCGGACGGGUGAGGAAUACAUCGGAAUCUACCUUUUCGUGGGGGAUAACGUAGGGAAACUUACGCUAAUACCGCAUAAGACCUUCGGGUGAAAGCCGGGGACCUUCGGGCCUGGCGCGGAUAGAUGAGCCGAUGUCGGAUUAGCUAGUUGGUGAGGUAAUGGCUCACCAAGGCGACGAUCCGUAGCUGGUCUGAGAGGAUGAUCAGCCACACUGGAACUGAGACACGGUCCAGACUCCUACGGGAGGCAGCAGUGGGGAAUAUUGGACAAUGGGCGCAAGCCUGAUCCGGCCAUACCGCGUGGGUGAAGAAGGCCUUCGGUUGUAAAGCCCUUUUGUUGGAAAGAAAAGCAUUCGGUAAUACCCGGUGCUCUGACGGUACCCAAAGAAUAAGCACCGGCUAACUUCGUGCCGAGCGACGCCGAGUAUCG